This 24-nucleotide small RNA is filed under the name Arabidopsis thaliana (thale cress). RNAcentral's name for it is "ATSL109030". Lineage: Eukaryota; Viridiplantae; Streptophyta; Magnoliopsida; Brassicales; Brassicaceae. The record is from RNAcentral.
AGUAUUGUAUCCAACAUUGACUGA